UACGUAGGGGGCAAGCGUUGUCCGGAAUCAUUGGGCGUAAAGCGCGCGUAGGCGGCCCGGUAAGUCCGCUCUGAAAGUCCAGGGCUCAACCCUGGAAAGCGGGUGGAUACUGCCGGGCUAGAAUCCGGAAGAGGCGACUGGAAUUCCUGGUGUAGCGGUGGAAUGCGCAGAUAUCAGGAGGAACACCUGUGGUGUAGACAGCUUACUGGACCACUUCUGACGCUGAGACACGAAAGCGUGGGUAGCAAACAGG
Molecule: ribosomal RNA, 253 nt
Filed under: uncultured bacterium
Lineage: Bacteria
Description: partial 16S ribosomal RNA
Rfam family: Bacterial small subunit ribosomal RNA
Source: RNAcentral